This 497-nucleotide ribosomal RNA is filed under the name uncultured bacterium. Its description in RNAcentral is "partial 16S ribosomal RNA". It matches the Rfam family "Bacterial small subunit ribosomal RNA", at positions 28 to 507 of the family's 1533-position model. The record is from RNAcentral.
GAUGAACGCUGGCGGCGUGCCUAAUACAUGCAAGUCGAGCGAACAGACGCGGAGCUUGCUCCUUUGACGUUAGCGGCGGACGGGUGAGUAACACGUGGAUAACCUACCUAUAAGACUGGGAUAACUUCGGGAAACCGGAGCUAAUACCGGAUAACAUGUUGAACCGCAUGGUUCAACAGUGAAAGACGGUCUUGCUGUCACUUAUAGAUGGAUCCGCGCCGCAUUAGCUAGUUGGUAAGGUAACGGCUUACCAAGGCAACGAUGCGUAGCCGACCUGAGAGGGUGAUCGGCCACACUGGAACUGAGACACGGUCCAGACUCCUACGGGAGGCAGCAGUAGGGAAUCUUCCGCAAUGGGCGAAAGCCUGACGGAGCAACGCCGCGUGAGUGAAGAAGGUCUUCGGAUCGUAAAACUCUGUUAUUAGGGAAGAACAAAUGUGUAAGUAACUAUGCACGUCUUGACGGUACCUAAUCAGAAAGCCACGGCUAACUACGUG